AUGGCUCAGGAUGAACGCUAGCGACAGGCCUAACACAUGCAAGUCGAGGGGCAGCACAAGGAGCAAUCUGAGGUGGCGACCGGCGCACGGGUGAGUAACACGUAUGCAACCUGCCUGUAAGCGGGGAAUAACCCGUCGAAAGACGGACUAAUACCGCAUAAUACUAAAUUACUGCAUGGUAAUUUAUUUAAACAUUUAUGGCUUACAGAUGGGCAUGCGCAUGAUUAGCUAGUUGGAGAGGUAACGGCUCCCCAAGGCAACGAUCAUUAGGGUUCUGAGAGGAAGGUCCCCCACACUGGUACUGAGACACGGACCAGACUCCUACGGGAGGCAGCAGUGAGGAAUAUUGGUCAAUGGGCGGGAGCCUGAACCAGCCAAGUCGCGUGAAGGAAGAAGGAUCUAUGGUUCGUAAACUUCUUUUGCAGGGGAAUAAAGUGCAGGACGUGUCCUGUUUUGUAUGUACCCUGAGAAUAAGGAUCGGCUAACUCCGUGCCAGCCGCUGC
Molecule: ribosomal RNA, 503 nt
Filed under: uncultured bacterium
Lineage: Bacteria
Description: bacterial SSU rRNA
Rfam family: Bacterial small subunit ribosomal RNA
Source: RNAcentral